This 465-nucleotide ribosomal RNA is filed under the name uncultured bacterium. RNAcentral describes it as "partial 16S ribosomal RNA". It matches the Rfam family "Bacterial small subunit ribosomal RNA", at positions 338 to 795 of the family's 1533-position model. The record is from RNAcentral.
CCUACGGUGGGCAGCAGUAGGGAAUAUUGCUCAAUGGGGGAAACCCUGAAGCAGCAACGCCGCGUGAAUGACGAAGGCCUUCGGGUCGUAAAGUUCUUUCGACAGGGAAGAAAAUGCCUAUAAGUAACUGUGUAUGUAUUGACGGUACCUGUAUAAGCAGCCCCGGCUAACUCCGUGCCAGCAGCCGCGGUAAUACGGAGGGGGCGAGCGUUGUUCGGAGUGACUGGGCGUAAAGAGCACGUAGGCGGUGUUGUAAGUCAUUAGUCAAAGACUAGAGCUCAACUUUAGUAAGGCUAGUGAUACUAUAAUACUAGAGUAUCAGAGAGGAUUGCAGAAUUCCUGGUGUAGCGGUGAAAUGCGUAGAUAUCAGGAGGAAUACCGUUAGCGAAGGCGGCAAUCUGGCUGGAAACUGACGCUGAGGUGCGAAAGCGUGGGUAGCAAACAGGAUUAGAUACCCCAGUAGUC